RNAcentral lists this ribosomal RNA (497 nucleotides) under uncultured bacterium. RNAcentral describes it as "partial 16S ribosomal RNA". It matches the Rfam family "Bacterial small subunit ribosomal RNA", at positions 28 to 507 of the family's 1533-position model. The record is from RNAcentral.
GAUGAACGCUGGCGGCGUGCCUAAUACAUGCAAGUCGAGCGAACGGACGAGAAGCUUGCUUUUCUGAUGUUAGCGGCGGACGGGUGAGUAACACGUGGAUAACCUACCUAUAAGACUGGGAUAACUUCGGGAAACCGGAGCUAAUACCGGAUAAUAUUUUGAACCGCAUGGUUCAAAAGUGAAAGACGGUCUUGCUGUCACUUAUAGAUGGAUCCGCGCUGCAUUAGCUAGUUGGUAAGGUAACGGCUUACCAAGGCAACGAUGCAUAGCCGACCUGAGAGGGUGAUCGGCCACCCUGGAACUGAGACACGGUCCAGACUCCUACGGGAGGCAGCAGUAGGGAAUCUUCCGCAAUGGGCGAAAGCCUGACGGAGCAACGCCGCGUGAUUGAUGAAGGUCUUCGGAUCUUAAAACUCUGUUAUUAGGGAAGAACAUAUGUGUAAGUAACUGUGCACAUCUUGACGGUACCUAAUCAGAAAGCCACGGCUAACUACGUG